RNAcentral lists this transfer RNA (88 nucleotides) under Ekhidna sp. RNAcentral's name for it is "tRNA-Ser". It matches the Rfam family "tRNA". From Rfam's summary of the family: Transfer RNA (tRNA) molecules are approximately 80 nucleotides in length. Their secondary structure includes four short double-helical elements and three loops (D, anti-codon, and T loops). Lineage: Bacteria; Pseudomonadati; Bacteroidota; Cytophagia; Cytophagales; Reichenbachiellaceae. The record is from RNAcentral.
AGAGAGGUGGCCGAGUGGUUGAAGGCGCACGCCUGGAAAGUGUGUAUAUCCCCAAAGGAUAUCGAGGGUUCGAAUCCCUCUCUCUCUG